Molecule: small nuclear RNA, 149 nt
Filed under: Triticum aestivum (bread wheat)
Lineage: Eukaryota; Viridiplantae; Streptophyta; Magnoliopsida; Poales; Poaceae
Description: snRNA U2
Rfam family: U2 spliceosomal RNA
About the family: U2 is a small nuclear RNA (snRNA) component of the spliceosome (involved in pre-mRNA splicing). Complementary binding between U2 snRNA (in an area lying towards the 5' end but 3' to hairpin I) and the branchpoint sequence (BPS) of the intron results the bulging out of an unpaired adenosine, on the BPS, which initiates a nucleophilic attack at the intronic 5' splice site, thus starting the first of two transesterification reactions that mediate splicing.
Source: RNAcentral
AUACCUUUCUCGGCUUUUUGGCUAGGAUCAAGUGUAGUAUUUGUUCUUAUCAGUUUAAUAUCUGAUAUGUGGGCUACAUGCCCACAACGAUAUUAAAUUUAUUUUUUACUAGGUAAAGAUGCCCGUGCGUUGCAACGGGAAAACACAAU